Molecule: ribosomal RNA, 469 nt
Filed under: uncultured bacterium
Lineage: Bacteria
Description: bacterial SSU rRNA
Rfam family: Bacterial small subunit ribosomal RNA
Source: RNAcentral
GAGUUUGAUCGUGGCUCAGAAUGAACGCUGGCGGCAUGCCUAACACAUGCAAGUCGAACGAAGGCUUCGGCCUUAGUGGCGCACGGGUGCGUAACGCGUGGGAAUCUGCCCUUGGGUUCGGAAUAACAGUUGGAAACGACUGCUAAUACCGGAUGAUGACGUAAGUCCAAAGAUUUAUCGCCCAAGGAUGAGCCCGCGUAGGAUUAGCUAGUUGGUGAGGUAAGAGCUCACCAAGGCGACGAUCCUUAGCUGGUCUGAGAGGAUGAUCAGCCACACUGGGACUGAGACACGGCCCAGACUCCUACGGGAGGCAGCAGUGGGGAAUAUUGGACAAUGGGCGAAAGCCUGAUCCAGCAAUGCCGCGUGAGUGAUGAAGGCCUUAGGGUUGUAAAGCUCUUUUACCCGGGAUGAUAAUGACAGUGCCGGGAGAAUAAGCUCCGGCUAACUCCGUGCCAGCCGCCGCAGUAAC